RNAcentral lists this ribosomal RNA (253 nucleotides) under uncultured bacterium. Its description in RNAcentral is "partial 16S ribosomal RNA". It matches the Rfam family "Bacterial small subunit ribosomal RNA", at positions 524 to 776 of the family's 1533-position model. The record is from RNAcentral.
UACUAGGGGUGCAAGCGUUGUCCGGAAUCAUUGGGCGUAAAGAGUAUGUAGGCGGCUGGAUAAGUCAGGCGUGCAAGCCCACGGCUCAACCGUGGAAUUGCGUUUGAAACUAUUCAGCUUGAGUACAGGAGAGGAAAGCGGAAUUCCCAGUGUAGCGGUGAAAUGCAUUGAUAUUGGGAAGAACACCGGUGGCGAAGGCGGCUUUCUGGUCUGUUACUGACGCUGAGAUACGAAAGCCAGGGGAGCAAAGGGG